UUCCUGUAAAGUCAUAUAUUUGUUUUGAACCACUCAAUGUCUUGUUUAUGUGUAAAGCACUUUGAAUAGCUCUUGUAACCUGCCCUGCCAUAAGAGGAAUGUCCUUUGAUAUGUGGCCUAAACAUUACCUUUAAAAAACAUUGAACAUUUCACUGUGUAUUGUACAAAGCCAUGUUUUAGCUCCUGUUUCAUUUUGGUAUGGUGUUACAGCUGUAUUCACAUGGACAAACGUAGCUAGCAAUAAUGGUGUGUGCUAACAUACAAAAACGUGGAGCAAGUUUGACAAUGGUACCAGUAGCUUAAUAAACUGUUGCAGAAGAGGCUUACCUGGCUUCUCAGAAGAGGAAUUUCAAAUGGUAUCCUUUUUUGUUACUUCUUUGACUAACCAUAGCAGGAACCUAGCUUUCAGUUGCUUAGAGUUAGCCUAGCUCGCAGCAGUAUACGGAAGCCGCAAUGGGACAUAUUUAGAAUUUGUAAGUGCGGAAUUCGUUCGUCGCCAGAGAUGCAACAUGUGUUGAGACAGUUUGGGGCCACCGUACAUACAGCAUCUCCUCUGUAUGGAGACUAACAUUGUUGCUCAUCUCUACAAGGUACACCUAUGCUACGUACAACAUUUCAAGGACCCCUCAGCCUAAGUGUUUGUUAUUCUCAUAUACAUGCUGGGAAGGAUGGAGUAAGGCGCUCUCCGGCCAAAAAUGCAAGCUCCAGACUCUUGGUGCUGUAGGAGUCCUUCAGUCCCAGCAUGGCCUCCUCGCGCUCUCUCAGCUGGGCGUUGAGCUCCUUCAGCUGACCUCUCAGGGCCACCAUCUCCCCGGCUCGCUGGGUCACUUCAGCCUGACUCUCCCUCAGCUGCUGCUUCAGCAGGGAGAUCUCUCCUGCCUUCUGACACACCUGCAACAUAAAGAUCCAGUGAGUGGAAUUAUUUCCUUGUAUAUAAACAUUGUUGUAGUUCUUGGUUGUAAACACAUACAGUAAUUUGCAUCCUCACACAUGCAGCCUUAUACUCAUUGUGUUGUCUAGCAUGAUUUAACCCUGAUAGUAUUUCACUGAACUAGUCAAGCACACCAUCUUAAAUACUCAUAUCUCACCUCCCACUUGGUCUCCUCCAGACGAGGCAAGAUGUCAGCCUGCUCCUUCCUGUAGUCUAAACACUUUCUCUCCAGCUCCUCUCUCUGGGCCAACAGAGCUGCCAUUUCCUCCUGCAGCCUCCUCUUGUCCUGGGACAGACGGGUUAUCUGGGCUUGCAGGGCAGUCUGGGAGCGCUGAGCACGGCGGGUAACCUGGAGAAUACAGAAAGUGUAUAUGUAUAAGUGGAGCAUACAUGCAUAACACCUGCAACAUAACACUGUGAUGCUUUCAGAUGUGACAGUCUGUUACUGAUUCAGUGGUGUAAACUUGGCUCAUAUUUGAUGUAGUCUUUCAGAUCAGAUGAAUUUGCAAGACAAGGCUUUUUAAAAAUGGUUGUUACUGUGUUGAUAUUUCAUGAAGAUAAUGCAACUUUAUCUGAAGAGGAGUUCACUUCUGAUUUCACUAUUAAACUGGAUUGGAGGAAA
Long non-coding RNA from Notolabrus celidotus (New Zealand spotty), 1553 nucleotides. RefSeq lists it as uncharacterized. The transcript is spliced from 4 exons. Lineage: Eukaryota; Metazoa; Chordata; Actinopteri; Labriformes; Labridae. The record is from RefSeq and is a predicted model, not a curated record.